This 359-nucleotide long non-coding RNA is filed under the name Mustela putorius furo (domestic ferret). RNAcentral describes it as "lncRNA (ENSMPUG00000029149.1)". The record is from RNAcentral. Lineage: Eukaryota; Metazoa; Chordata; Mammalia; Carnivora; Mustelidae.
GGCUAAUACCUUGGGCUGGAGGUCAGGGGCUGAGGGGCAGGGGAUUGAGACGCUGGUGGAAAGAGGAGUUGCAGGCAUUGGUAGUGACCAUGGGAGUGAAUGGCUCUUCGCAGAGAGGAGCAGAUCAAGGGACCAGAGGCCAGCAUGGAGGCAGCAUCCUCUGUGGGAAUCCUGAGAGAACCAAGAACUAAAACAGGGAUAGACAGAUGGAGAGGGAUACCGAGCCCAGGGGAAAGGCCUUAAGGGUGGAGGCAAGAUGGGACCCAGGGGUUGGAGAUGUCUUCAUUGAGCACGCCAGACCCUGUCCCAAGCUGGGUGCAGGUGUCUCCUUGUGGAGUCCUUGCCAUCACCCUAGGAGG